RNAcentral lists this ribosomal RNA (92 nucleotides) under Aerococcus urinae. Its description in RNAcentral is "partial 16S ribosomal RNA". It matches the Rfam family "Bacterial small subunit ribosomal RNA", at positions 1442 to 1533 of the family's 1533-position model. RNAcentral also lists the same sequence under 1 other name. Lineage: Bacteria; Bacillati; Bacillota; Bacilli; Lactobacillales; Aerococcaceae. The record is from RNAcentral.
UUUGGAGCCAGCCGCCGAAGGUGGGACAGAUGAUUGGGGUGAAGUCGUAACAAGGUAGCCGUAGGUGAACCUGCGGCUGGAUCACCUCCUUU